AGAACAACAACUUGAGAACAGAUUGGAACCUUUUCCCACGUCAUUUGUGCAAAGCCGAGAGCAAACAAUUUUGGGCAAUCAUUGGAGAAUAACUAGGAUCUUUUCACUACAUCAAUUUUCCAAAGCCGAGAAAAGGGAGGAAUCUUUUACAGAAUGCACAUGAGCUAGAAGACCUAAGGAUACCAUAAUUAGAGUGCAUUUCUGCAGCAGGAUUUUGAGCACACCGUAACAGCAGCCUUUGUGUAGUAAUAGUUUUGGUUCAUUUUUGGAUUUGUAAUAGGUUUGCUUUGAUUUCUUCUUUGUAAACGGCCAUUCAAAGUCCAAGUGGUGUGGGAAGAGUCCUUGGUGCUCUUUCU
RNAcentral lists this long non-coding RNA (356 nucleotides) under Vigna radiata. RNAcentral describes it as "long non-coding RNA (VRAD_LNC009948)". Lineage: Eukaryota; Viridiplantae; Streptophyta; Magnoliopsida; Fabales; Fabaceae. The record is from RNAcentral.